UCUCUCACUGAAUCUGGAGCUCACCAACUUUUCUAGUCUGGGGUUAGUUAUCCACAGGGACACUCCCUUCUCCUCUGUCCAGUCCUGAUAUUACAGAUGGUGCAUAUGAAUAUAUAGGUGUUCUUAGAGGCCAGACAUGUAACUCUCCAGGAGCUGUUGCUACAGGUCACAGUUUCUCAUCUGCAAAUCAGUAGACAACAUCAAGUUGGUGAGUCCCACAAACUCUGUGAGCCUCUCCAGAUGAAACGAUUUCUCCAGAUGAAACAAAACCGGCCUAGAUGAGUCAGCCACCAUCCAACCCACCUGAAUGUGGAGUGCUUAUUGUUGCAUGUUGCUGAGAUUUCUCAAUUGUCUAUUGUACUACGACUUUGUAAAUACGUGGUUGAGUGAUUGGAUUUCUGAUGCUAAACUUUACUCAUGUAAUAAACAUAAAUUUCUAAAAUA
Mesocricetus auratus (golden hamster) is the source of this 444-nucleotide long non-coding RNA. RefSeq lists it as uncharacterized. The record is from RefSeq and is a predicted model, not a curated record. The transcript is spliced from 3 exons. NCBI's taxonomy places the organism in Eukaryota, Metazoa, Chordata, Mammalia, Rodentia, Cricetidae.